CAGCCCUUGUCCCCAUCCCCAUCCCCGCCUGCCCGGUCGGUACGGUGGCACCUGCACGAGGUUCUGUCCCUUGGCACAGAGCCGGGACCAGGCUCCUGCCGCUGGGUUUCUCCUCUGGAAGGUGUUUUCCUCGUUGCAGGGACUGGAGAAGGCGCCGGGGCAGCAGGAGGUGGCUCGGAGGUGUGUGAGUGAGCCCAGAGAUCCAAGGAGCUGUUUGCUGCUUCAAAAAGAAGGUGAACCCUUCUUCUGGCAAUGAUUUGAUAAGCUGUUCCAACACAAAGCUGAGCAAACCAAGGACCCACAUUGCCCCUGUACCUCCACAGAGGCUCUCUCUGCAGCUGAGGGCACCAGGGGGCCUGGCUGGGGACACUCACUCUGCC
Melospiza melodia melodia is the source of this 380-nucleotide long non-coding RNA. RefSeq lists it as uncharacterized. The transcript is spliced from 3 exons. The record is from RefSeq and is a predicted model, not a curated record. Lineage: Eukaryota; Metazoa; Chordata; Aves; Passeriformes; Passerellidae.